This is a long non-coding RNA of Stegastes partitus (bicolor damselfish), 418 nucleotides long. RefSeq lists it as uncharacterized. The transcript has 2 exons. NCBI's taxonomy places the organism in Eukaryota, Metazoa, Chordata, Actinopteri, Pomacentridae. The record is from RefSeq and is a predicted model, not a curated record.
GCAUCAGGUUACCUCGUGGAGCUCUGAUUGACUUCAUCCGAACUCUUGUUCUGGGGAUUCCUCGGUCGUCUUCCUGACAGAAAGUUAAGGUUCAGACUUUAAAGUGUGACGUUAAAGGCAGAACAUGACAGAAGAAGGUCGGAGCUGAAGGAAGCAGAAGCAGCAGAACCAUGGCGUGAGCUGGGCUGUGAUCGGGGGAUGUGACUGAUGUCUGAGGCGUUGCUACAUGAAGCUGUUGAUGAGCUGAAGGUGUGUAACGCUGACAGAGCUGAGAGCUGCAUCAGUAGGACCUCCGUCACCUCCACGCAGAGCGUCUCCAUCAGCACACCGUAGGAGUGAGAAUCAGUGAUGUUUAAAGCACUUUAAAGAAGGUCAAAAUUCUUAGUGCAAAGCUUGACAAUAAAUACUAAACAUGUCC